GGGUUGAUAGUAAUAACUAGAUAAUAUGCAAAAAAAAUGGCGACUGGCUAUCAGUAGCCUGUCAUAUUCGCCAGUAGCCUCUCUUAAUGUAUUUUUCGGGCUACGGUAGCCUGAAGGCGACUGAACUCAGGCUAUUAUAGAUACAUAAUGUGGGUGUAAUUAUAUUAAACCUAGCCCUAUAUAAACGUGCGAUUUAGCUAACGCUGCUGAUCAAUUCGGUGAGCGUGUUUCUUGAUUCGCUGGCUUAUUUCCGUGCUAGUUUUUUUAGGCUGAGCUUGCAUUUUAGGUUAUUACGAAAUAUUAAAUGCAGAGCUUGCAUUUCGUUAAUUGUUUCAUUCUCAAUAAAUUGCAAAGCUUGCUUUAUUUAAUAUUUCGUUCUUUAACUCUUCCCCCUUGAAUUUAUGCUUGUCCUCAAGCGAUUUCUAGAAAUAUGGAAUGUUAUUGAAUUGGGGUGGGUUUCUUUGUAUCCCAAUUGUUGAUUAAUUUCUGUUUGGUGGUGCGGUGAUUUCUGAUACUUUUGUUUCUCUGAUCGGUAUAGGCCCUAGCUGCAAUGUUAUAAUAUUCUGCUGUUGACUGUAUUUUUUUUGCAAUCCCAAGACGAUAGUCAGAUCAAUGCCAAAAAGCGUUACCAGAGUAAUACUGUUGAUCAAAGAGUGUGUUUUAAUGUGUUGCAAUUGUUUAAAUGUAAUACUUCUAGAGCUUCUAGGGAUAAUAUCCUCAAUCGUUCAGUUUCGUCAGGUGUAAACUGUACGAGAGGAAUUCCUGGUUUCAUAAUGGUGGAUUCCAGGUUGCUGAACCGCUUGUUGUUGAUUAGCACUGAAUCAUCUGAUAUUUGUAUUAGGUAGGUGCCCUCUAAAUGCAAAUCUGUGCCAUUCCAGGUUAUGUUGCCAUUGUAGUUGUUUAAUAGAAUGGUACCGUCGUCGAUUUCUUCCACCUCUGCUACGUGGUCAGCAUUGCUAAAUCUACACAUCGCUUUUACUCCUUUAAUUACUUAGGAGUACAAUUUGAAUUACUUAUAUUAACAAUAUUGUUUUUAUCAAACAUUUUUAUAUUUGCUUCUGUUUUACAAUUUUUAAGAACGCUAUAUAUAAAAUGUUUAUUAACAAAUAUUCCAUUUGUGUUUAAAUUUAUAAUUGAAUUAUUUUUAUACUCUCGCAACCUUUUGCACAUAGUAUAAUAGUUUUGUUCACAUAACGGUUGUUUGUGUCACCAAGAAAUAUAAGAGUUAGAUACGGGGUUAUAUAUACAUAAAUGAUCAGGAUGACGAGUGGAUUUGAAAUCCGGAUGUCUGUCCGUCCGUCUGUCCGUGCAAGCGAUAACUUGAGUAAAAAUUAAGAUAUCUUAAUGAAACUUGGAACAUACGUUCCUUGGCACCCAGAGGAGGUUGCUUUCGGGCAAAAUCGGUCCACAGCCACGCCCACAAAAUGGCGGAAACCGAAAACCUAUACAGUGUCAUAACUAAGCCAUAAAUAAAGUUAUGAAAAUGAAAUUUGGAACAUAGGAUCCCAUUAGGGAGGGGCACAUUUUGAUGUAAUUUUUUUGGACCCCACCCCCAAAUAGGUUUUGUAUAUAACUCGCAAACCAAUAAAGCUAUAUAAACCAAACUUUCUGCAGUCGUUUAUUUUAGCCAUUUCCUUAUACAGUUCAAAAAUGAAAGAAAUCGGAUAAUAACCACGCCCACCUCCCAUACAAAGGUUAGGUUGAAAAUUACUAAAAGUGCGUUAACUCCCUAACGAAAAACGUCAGAAACAAACUGAACUGAGAUUUUUUUACAAAAUGCAAAUUCGGUUUAUAACACUUUCUUGACACCCUGAUGAAUAUGGGUGGAAUAUGGGCGAAAUCGGUUCACAACUACGUCUACUUCUCAUAUAACUCAAUUUUGAAUUCUUUUGAUUCGUUCACUUUAUAAUACAUAUAUACAUUAGGAACAAAUGAAGAUAGCGGAAUAAAACAUUACACAAAUACUGUAUUUGAGCUGUGACAUCACUUGUGGAAAAAUUGUCAAAAUCGAACCAUGACUUUUCAAGGCCUCUGAUAUCGAACAUGAAGAACUCAGUUCCUAAGGGUAAUUUUUCAUCGGAUAUAUAGGUAAAUCCCUCAGAUAUUUUUAUGUAAUUCAUUCCCUCUGAAUUUUUUUCUUAUAACAGUUUCUCUCUGUACCUGAAAUGGUAAAAAUCGGGUCAUAACUUCCCCCAGAUCCCAUAUACCUAAUUAUAAGUAAUAUUAAAUUAAGUGAGCGUAUAGUCUUCGAAACAUUGUAUCUUGGUGGUGAAAACGAGUGAAAUCGGUUUAGGAAUUACCUCAGUCCCCAUAUACUAUUUAUGAUGAUUUUCGUUAUUCUAUUGAACUUUAUACCGAAUAUAUGGGUCGAAUUGUGUUAUCUUUAUAAAAUUACAUAAAUAAAUUGCGAGAGUAUAAAAUGUUCGGUUACACCCGUGAUGAUUACACUCCAUGAUUUCUUCUAUCGAAAGGCUUUCCAAAUUCCUCUUUUUUUAAUGUUCUAUAUUUAAAUUAACUCGUUUUAUUUAAUAAAGUUGCGUUUAUAAUAUUUAACCGUGCCCAUUGAGAUGAGUAAUUAAUAUUAACUAUUUACCUGUAGUGUCAGUCAUUUUUCAUAGUAAUAGUCUGUAAAUGUUAAAUUUUGAUAAAUUUUAUGGACUGUUUUUCCAGAUUCUGUUAAAAUAGUAGUGUUUUUGUUUUCCUUGAGUACUUCUUUUCCUAUCCUGGUUGAUAAUUAAUUACUUUCUUCCGAUUUUUGUUAUGGUUUAAUAAGUCUGUGUCUCUUUUUGUUCUUAAUAUGUCGAUGUUAUCCUGUCGAGCCUUUUCAUAUUGAUCUGGAUCUGUUGUUACUUUCCUACCGUAAAAUACCUCUAAUGGUCGUUUCUCCGUAACUGAAUGAAAUGAAUAAUUGUAUUCGUAUAUUGCCCUGUCUAAAAGUUCUUUGAAAUCUCGAUGAGUGGAUUCUUUUUUAGGACAUCUCAUUAUUUCUGAUAAUUUCGAAUGAAAUCGUUCUAUUUGUCCGUUAACGGUGCUUUUGUAUGGUGGAGCAUUAUAAAUUUCUAUUCCUAGUUCUUCUAACAUGAAUUUAAUGGAUUGUGAAUUGAAAUAUUUUCCAUUGUCCAAGACAAUAUGCGAAGUAAAAUACAAUAUCGCGCAAAGGGCUUCUAAUAUCUUCUAUUGCUUUAGAUUCAAUGAUUCGAGCUUGAGCUAGUUUGGAAAAUUUAUCUAUUGCCGUUAGUACAAGAUGUCGUUCUGUUGAGUAGAUGUCAAUAUGCAGUAUAUGACCGGGGUAUUCUGGAAUUGGAGUUAUAGUGUUAGGUAAUAAACCAUGAUUAGAAUUUUCAGCGUUGGGCUGUGUGGAAAUGAUAGAAUGAAUUUGUUCAGUUAUUAUUUUUGAGAUUGUAUCAUCUACAACGUUCUCUUUUCCCGAUUUAUCAAGUACUUCUUGAUCGUAAUCUUCUAGGAAAUUUAUUGAGCAAUCAUCGUAGAAUUCGUAAGUGUUGUUGUCGAUUUCGUCUACUCGGUCUAUGUACUCGUUCAAAUUUUCGUAAUCUGUCGUUGUAGCGUACGUUUCAGCGGAUUGUGUUUCCUCUUCUUUAUUAAAAGUUUGUAUGUUAAAGUUCCUCUGUCGUUUGUGUACUUCUGAUAUUUGAUCUGAUGGUCUUUUGCCAACUUCAAAGCGAGGUCGGUUCAUGUAAUUGACUAUUUUCGUUUGUAUACUGGGGUCCACGUCCAUAGGUUCUAGACGAGGCAAUGGUUUUUGUGCCAUAUGCCUAGGUGGGCCUGGAAUUGUCUAUUUGAGAAUGAUUGUCGAGGAGCGGCAGUAGGUUGGAAAUUGUUAAAGUUAUGUAUUGGUUGUGUGAUUGGUGGUUGUAGUCCAUAUUGUUGGUAUUGGUAAAGGCUUGGUGGGACUGGAGGUUGUUGUCCAUAUUGCUGGUAUUGGUAAAGUUUUUAUGGGAUUGAUUGUUGUCUAUUUAUAAAUUGAAUGUUGGGUGCAGCACCUGCUAAGUUUGGAAUUCUGAUUCCUGAAAUUGCUUGUUUGUCCUUUGUUUGCAGCAUGGUUUGCACGAAAAGUUUGGUUCUCUAAUUUCAAACACAGAUGUAGUGCUGAAGGUAAAUCUACUGGUUCUUUAAUUCCUAGUAGGCGCGGUAAGUCACCUCGCAACCCUCGUACAAAAGUAUCUAGAGCUUUAUCUCUGUACAUUUUCGUCAUUAGUUGUUCUGCUUCUCUACCUAAUCCCAUACAACAAGUUUUAUUCAAAAUUAGGGAUAAGUGCUUAUAGACUGUCUGAUAGAAUUCUUCUACUGAUUGAUUAUAGGUUUGGACUAACAUAGUCAUUUGGUAUUCUAAAGUAUUUAUGUCACGUUUGUCCGCAUAAUGUAAUGUUAGGCAUUUGGAAAUGGCUAAUUAUUUUAUACGAAGGUAUGCAAGAUGUCAUAGUAUUUUGGCGUACCUUGAUAAGCACUAUAUGCUUCUAGGAUAUCAUCUACACCCUUUUUCCAAGAACUGAAUUUGGAUGGGUCACCUGAAAACUCAUGUAUUGUUUUUACUAUGUCUGGUACCCUAUCUAAGUCACCUAAAUUCCAGGCAUGUUCUGGAGCGAUUACCUGAUCGGCUACAUUAGCGAAUUCUUCCGGCAAUCAAUAAUAAUCAAUAAUGAUAAUUUAAAAAUUGUUUUUAUAAUAAUAAUGAUUUUUAGUGGUAAAUUUAAUUAAUCUUACAAUACUAUGGUUAAUGAUGUGGCUCCUUCCCUCGACGAUCCGGAUUUCAUCCUUACUGUAACUUUUCUAUUACUACUGAGGCUCCUGCAAUGCGUACCUUCCUAGGGGUUUCCUGCGGCCUUGCCUACAAGACUUGGAGACCACCGAUGAUAGUUUUAAAAGACGUUUAUUUUCCGCGAAUUUGUGCGUUUUUCUACACUUCGCGAUUUGACCGGUUGCUGCAAAUGUUAUUGAAAGCCGCGAACUUACUGAACGUUUUGCCGUAUCGUUAUACGUACCGGUCCCUGCUCGGGCGCCAGUUAAUUUUAUUCUUAUUUAAAAGAAUAAAAAAAAAAUAAAAUACGAAAUGGAUGCUUUUAAUAUUCCAAUUUAUUUUUAUGACCAUUACUACUGACUUAUCAUGACUACUACUAAGUUAAGACUAUUCAUUACUAUUACUAAAUUAUGACUAUUUAAUUAUAUUAAACCAAGCCCUAUAUAAACGUGCGAUUUAGCUGACGCUGCUGAUCAAUUCGGUGCGCGUGUUUCUUGAUUCGCUGGCUUAUUUCCGUGCUAGUUUUUUAGGCUGGGCUUGCAUUUUAGUUUAUUACGAAAUAUUAAUUGCAGAGCUUGCAUUUCGUUCAUUGUUUCAUUCUCAAUAAAUUGCAAAGCUUGCUUUAUUUAAUAUUUCGUUCUUUAACUUAUACAUACAUAUGUAUGUAGGAUAUGUGCAGAGCAGAGUUCCUAAAACCAUCAAAAUACGAGAAGAGAACAUUUCAAAUACUCAGGAGCGCAAGCUUAACUAACAUUCUCAUCACAAAAAACUCCUCACGUAUAUGGCUCACUCAUAUAUUAGCAUAAGCAAGCAUUUUUAAAAGAUAACUAUUUGCCUAACGCAUCAUCUUUAUUUUUAUCGCUCUGAGUGUUCAAGUGAUGCGAAAAAUAAAACUCAUCUUUUUUACUUGUCAUUAGUAUUGUCUCUUAUUUAAAGAAAAAAAAAAGCAAAAGCAUAUAUGCCAGCGGGAUAAUGGUUCACCGCUUACAUUUUUCUUUGAAGAAUACUUCGAAGAAAAUUCUAUAUAGAAUUCUUCGAUACCAGGUAAUGCAUAAAAGUAAGCUAUACGGCUAAAUUCUACUGUGUGCAUAUUUACAAAUCAAGUAAGUACAUGAAAAACGACAAAUACAAAUUGAUGGAAUAAAAUUUAUAAGUAAAUUUUUUCAUUAUUUCGUCAAAUCAUCAAGCAGAAAGUUGGUCGUGAUCAGGUGAGCUACUAUUUUAAUUAAAAAUUUUGUUUAUUUUUUUGUGUUUAAACUUAGAAUAAAAAAUAAAGGAAUAUUCUCAAAAAGACAUAUGAGAAGACUUAUUAAAAAUGAGGAAAGUGAAUUUUACGGAAUGGCUGAAAAUGAUUCUGAAGAGGAUGCGGUGAAUUGUAGUGAAUUUUACGAAAUGACUGAAGAUGAUUCUGAAGAGGAAGCGGUGAAUUGUAGCUUUGACAAUAUUGAUGCUGAAGUCGAAUUUUUUGAAAAAGAAGAAAGUUCACAAAAAACGAACUGUGACAAAUUAAUUGAAAAAUUGAAAAUGUGGACUGCGCGUCAUAAAGUCACAAGGAACUGCUUCGAUGAUUUGUUAAAAAUAUUGCAGUCGGAGAAUAUUUCUGUACCAACAUCUUCGAAAGGAAUUUUAUGGCAAGCGACCUGCAGAUUGAGAACUGUUGCGCCAGGAAAUUAUUUGCACAUAGGCCUAGAAAAGCAACUAAGGAGUAUCGCGAUAACGUUGAGUGACGUUGAUAAAUUUGAAAUCGAUAUCGGUAUUGACGGCUUACCUUUGUACAAAAGCUCAAAUGUAAGCUUGUGGCCUAUAUUGGCAAAAUUGCAUCCAAAAAGAAAUACGAAGGUGAUGUUGAUUGGUGUUUUUAAAGGCAAGCAGAAACCGGCAGACGUGAAUAACUAUUUACACGAUUUUGCUUAUGAACUAAAAACUUUAACGCAAUACGGAAUGGAAGUCAAUGGCAGAAGAAUCAAAGUGAAAGUGCGAUGCUUUAUUUGCGAUGCCCCAGCAAGAGCAUUUAUCUGCCAAACAGUAGGUCACAACUCUUUUCAAGGAUGCAGCAAGUGCACACAAGUGGGUAAAAAAAUAAACCAUACAAUAACUUACAGUACAUUGACGGAAAAUCUUCGAACUGACGAUGACUUUGCUGCAAGAAAUAGCGUGGGCCAUCAUAAAAAAAUGGAAAAAUCGUGUCUCGAAGAAAAAGGUGUGGGAAUGGUCUCCGCUUUUCCUGUUGAACCAAUGCACCUUUUAGAUCUUGGAGUUGUAAGAAAAGUGCUAAAAUGUCUAAUUAAUGGUCCGAAUGUAGGAUAUCAGUUGACAAAGCAGCAGAAAAAUAUGCUGUCGAAAACUUUGAUUUCGUACAUACCUUACAUAUCCAAUGAAUUUGCUCGAAAACCACGAAGCUUAGAUGAAAUUGCAAGAUGGAAAGCAAUAGAGUUCCGACAGUUUGUACUUUACACGGGAAUGGUUGCUUUGAAAGACAUUGUAUCUGACAGUAUUUAUUAUCAUUUUUCUUUGUUGCACUGUGCAUAUGCAUUGCUUUCGUCACAAAAAACCUAUGAAAACAAUUUAGAAGAAAUAAAGCAAAUGCUUAAUUACUUCGUGCACCUUUUCCCAACCUUUUAUGGAGAAGAAAAAGUAAGUUACAAUGUACAUUCAGUCCUGCAUUUGGUGGACUCCGUUAAAUCGUGCGGUUUUCUGAAUUCAUUCUCAGCAUAUGCAUUCGAAAAUUUUUUGCAAACCCUAAAGCGGUUCGUUAAAGACCACGAGAAACAUUACAACAAAUAAAUAACAGAUACCAAUACGAAAACGUGUUUACAAAAGACAGAUAUGUGGGUCCAAAAGUCAAUAGAUGUGGGAAGGUUAUUCGAUUUUAUGGAAAUGACUUUAAUAUCAGCGAUAAAUUACCGGAUAAUUUUUGCUACGUUAAACCGGGAGUGGCAAUACAAAUUAUAAGAUUAUCGAAGAAAGAUGAUGAUCUUUAUAUGCAUGGAAAAGUUUUGAAAAACUGCUGCAAUCUAUUUACGGAACCAUUGAAAUCGAUGAUAGAUUUGGGCGUUUUCAUAGCUGACAUUGACACCGAAGAAGCGGAGCAAAUCUAUGAUGUCCAACUUAUUUUAUACAAAUUAAUGUGUCUGCCUUACAAUGAUCAAUUUGUAUUUCUACCGAUUAUUCACAGCAAGGACCUAUAAGAUGAGUUACCACGGGCUGAAGUCUUUUAGCGUGAAAUCGGUUGCGGAAAAUUACAAAAACGAAAAUUCUUGUCCAUGCAAAAUCGCCAGUCUGGAAAAUUGAUGAAAUGCAACAACAUAUAGAGAAAUUGACGAAACAAGUUGACACCACAAAUGAGCUGUUGCGAAAAUUAACCACCGUGCAGUCAGCAAAUAAUGCCCUCAUAAAUGCAAUGAGUUGCAGGCGCAAAUCUACUAAUAAAUUUCCAUUAAAAACUGAUGAAGCAUUAAAAGAACUUGACAAAGAAUUGGAAGGUAACAAGGAAAAAUAUAUGCCUAUAAUACAAGACCUGCUAGGUCACAAUGCAUUUGAAAAAUCACUGCAUAAAAUUAUAGCAGUUGAAUUGUUGCUGGAAUACAAUUACUUUGGUGUGAAGGGUAAAAAAUCUUUGAAGGAAUUUACGCACUUUAAUGCGUUACUAUUUGGUAAGUUUUUCGUAUUUUUAACAUUGAAGGACAUAGCUUCAAAUUUAUAAACAUACUCUUUCAACUUUUUUUGUAGAAUGUGUGAAAGUUGAAGGUUUCACCGAGUCGGAGUAUAUACACCCAAUUCAAAAAAGUAUCAAACUCGCCAAAGGCCGUUUCUUCAAGUCUCGUUGCUUGGAUAAAAAACGAAAAGAGGCUCAGCCACAAAAUUAAAAGCAGCAUACCAAUUCGAACAAAAAGGAACGAGAAAGGAUCUCGCGCACCUUUUUUCAUUACGACGUCGUUCGACCAAUAUCUCCGCUUUCGCAGCAUCCCGGUUCUUUCCGCUAGUUACCCCCCUGUAUAUAUAUUUAACGUUUUUUAAAACCUGCUGUUUUCAACCUUUGAUCAUUUUAUAUAUACUAUAUAUAUGUGUAUUUAACGUUUUUAAACUAUUUCAAUUUGUAAUAAUUCAGUUCAGUUAAACACAUUUUGUUAUAACAAUUUUUAAGUGCAUUUCGCAAAAAAUAAAACCUUUAUAACGAUUGUAUCGAAUUUAACUGUGGCAUGGUGGAAUUCUUUGUUAACUAUGGCAUCAAAGAAUUCUUCGUUAACUAUGGCAUCGAAGAAUUCUUUGUUAACUAUGGCAUCGAAGAAUUCAUCGUUAACUGUGGCAUCGAAGAAUUCAUCGUUAACUGUGGCAUCGAAGAACUCUUCGUUUACUUUGGCAUCGAAGAAUUCUUCGUCCCUAUGGUAAGCGAAUGGGGUGAUCUGUUACUUUUCGUAGGACAUCGCCGUGUUAAUUUUCAUCGGUCGGAGUAAGCGAAACAAUCAUGCUACAUCGUUUACCUUGCUCGCUUACCAAUGUCUACCAUAUCCCGCUGGGUACAUAUGUAUUUACAAAUAAAGAAUAGACACUCAAAUUUUUAUUUACAUAGUUAUUUUCCGUAUUUGUACAUACAUAUGUACGUGCAUAAGUAAGUACUUAUGUAUUUAUUAAAACAAACAAAACAUGUAUAUAUUUCAAUAGAAAAAGAACACAAAUAAUUCAAUAAAUAAAGUUGAUAAUUUUUUAAUGAAAAAUUACCUUAAGAAAAAUUCAUAUUAUUAAAAAGUUCUUCAUUUGACCUUAUCAAAAGCAAAUUAUUGAUAUUUUGUGGGUUGAGCCUGGAAUGAUGCUUAGUUAAAAUUAACGAAAGAGCACUAAAGGCACGUUCCACUGAAGUUUAACUACAUGGAACAGAUGGAACUACUUCGGCUAAUUUGGCUAAAGCUGGCUCAUGGCUUCGCAAACCUUUCCAGUAAUCCAGUAUGUUUUUUUGGAAAGGCAUCCGAGUUUCGUGUGCUAGUCCUUCAAGUUUUUUACGAAUUGUUUGAACAUUGCUUGUUGACUGAGGAGAUUGCUGAGUCCAAGAAGUAACUUUUUGUUCAAGUAAGUGAAAAGUAUCAUUUGAAGACAGAGAAGGUUCGAAUUCAACUUGGCUGGCCACUGGAUCUGCAUCAUUGCAUAUUGGAUUUCCCUCCAAAGAACUUAACAUUGUGCUUGUAGAAAUUAUAUGUGACUAGAGAAUAUAAACCAACAAAAAAUGAUAAUCAUAUUUUAUCGAUCAGUAAAUUUGGUAGGGUCCUUAAUGUCAUGCAUAAUUUUUAGUAAAUAAUAAAGUAAAGAUAUUAUAGAUUGAAAUGUACUUACUACCGCCUGUUUUCUUCGCAUUUCAUUGAAGAACAGUGAAUCCAUAUAAUUAAAUCUUCGAUCCAUAUAUAAAGCGGAAACGAAUGCAUUGUUUUCAAGAAGCUUUUCCUUCCGCAACUGCAUUGAUCUUAAUAAAGUACUAGCGAAGAUAUUGUUCGGCAUAGUUUCCAAUUUCGUUUCGCAAAGUAACCAAUCCC
RNA transcript from Zeugodacus cucurbitae (melon fly), 10278 nucleotides. RefSeq lists it as uncharacterized. The record is from RefSeq and is a predicted model, not a curated record. Lineage: Eukaryota; Metazoa; Arthropoda; Insecta; Diptera; Tephritidae. The transcript is spliced from 3 exons.